RNAcentral lists this ribosomal RNA (358 nucleotides) under Shigella boydii. RNAcentral's name for it is "bacterial SSU rRNA". It matches the Rfam family "Bacterial small subunit ribosomal RNA", at positions 1119 to 1478 of the family's 1533-position model. The record is from RNAcentral. Lineage: Bacteria; Pseudomonadati; Pseudomonadota; Gammaproteobacteria; Enterobacterales; Enterobacteriaceae.
GAACAGGAUCCGGCCCGGGAACUCAAAGGAGACUGCCAGUGAUAAACUGGAGGAAGGUGGGGAAGACGUCAAGUCAUCAUGGCCCUUACGACCAGGGCUACACACGUGCUACAAUGGCGCAUACAAAGAGAAGCGACCUCGCGAGAGCAAGCGGACCUCAUAAAGUGCGUCGUAGUCCGGAUUGGAGUCUGCAACUCGACUCCAUGAAGUCGGAAUCGCUAGUAAUCGUGGAUCAGAAUGCCACGGUGAAUACGUUCCCGGGCCUUGUACACACCGCCCGUCACACCAUGGGAGUGGGUUGCAAAAGAAGUAGGUAGCUUAACCUUCGGGAGGGCGCUACCACUUUGAUCAUGUUCCG